GGCUUAAGAGGAGGGGUGAGAAAAAGUCGUAUAAAAGGCGAGAGAAAAGUCGAUACAGGGAACAGUCGUGUGAGCAUCUCCGACACGGCAACAACUGCAGUGUACUUUUGCCAUCAGCUUUCAGCUAUCUGCCAUCGUCAGUUCUUAAUCAUGGUUGUAUUUAAGGAGAAAGAAAAGGCGAAAGAAAUCAGUCGAGUGAGCAUCUCCGAUAUGCAAGAGUUGCAGUGCGCCAUUCAUCACCAACUGCAUUCUUCGUCGCUUUACCAGUUUCAAUCAUGGUCGUUUAAAGGGAGAGAAAAGGCGGUAGAAUUCAUUCGUAUCUCCGACAUGGGAGCAGCAAAUGCAGUGCACUAUUUUACAUCAACUGCAUUCUUCGUCGAAGUGCUAGUUUUAAAUCAUGGUAAACUUUGGCGUCGCGUGCUGCUGUUGGGUGUUGUAUAGUUGACGGCUGGUUCAGCCAUGGUGUACCAAUGUCUCCUGGGUAUGGCCGUAACAAAUCGCAACGCCGCCACCUUACUACACAACAUACGACACAACCAGUUGCUACACCAAGGCCCCCAAGUACUACACCACCAAGGCUCCACAUUAUUGUACCACAACUUAUGCUGCCUGAGCUACUACACCGAAGCCCCGAAGCAUUGUUCUUCCCCGAGCUACACUACCAGAGGUUCGAGUACUACACCGAUGCUCUGAAGUACUACACCACCACGGCACCAAAGUACUGCACCACCAAGGCACCGGAGUACUGCACUACUACAUAUCAUGGUCGUAUGAAAGGAGAGAAAAGGUGAAAGAAUUCAGCAGCCGAGUGAGCAUUUCCGUUACAGCAACAGGAACUGCCGUGCACUAGUUGUCAUCAACUUCAUUCUUCGUGGCGUUACAAGUGUUUAAUAAAGUUAACUAUGGUGGCGUGCUGCUGUUGGGUGUUGUAUCGUUGAUGGCUGGGUCGACCACUGGUGUGCCGAUUUCUCCUGGGUAUGGUGGGCAUGAAUAACAACAUACGCAACAACCGGUCACUACACUGAGGCCCCUAAGUGCUACACCACCAAGGCUCCAGAUUAUUACACCACAGUUUAUGUUGGUCCGAGCUAUUCGCAGAAGCUCCGAAGUAUUUUUCUUCGCCAAGCUUCGCUACCUUCACCACGCCGCCUCCUUCCUAAACAAUAACGUCAACACUUUCUUACUAUACGAAGGCCUCCAAGUACUACGCCACGAAGGCUUCUGACUACUAUACCGAGGAUCUAACUUGUUACAUCAUCGAAGUUCUCAAGUACUUCACUACCCCCUACGUUGCCCCAGCUUACACCACGCAGGCACCGGAGUACUACACCAGGCAGGCACCGGAGUACUACACCAGGCAGGCACCGGAGUACUACACCAGGCAGGCACCGGAGUACUACACCAGGCAGGCACCGGAGUACUACACCAGGCAGGCACCGGAGUACUACACCAGGCAGGCACCGGAGUACUACACCAGGCAGGCACCGGAGUACUACACGUUAAACCGAGGCUCCAGUUUACUACACUACAACCUACGCUGCUCAAAACAACUACAUUGAUGCUCCAAAGUACUACACCACCAAGGCAUCCGAGCAUACACUACCACUACACCUACCACUACCACUACUUACGCUACCGCCACCUGCUACACCGAAGUUCCGAAAGCAGUACUCUGGCCCGAGUUACUACACCACUUAGGCAGCCGAAUAUUACACCAUAAACUACGAUUCCGCAAUUUUCUACAAGGAAUUUCCUAAAUAGAGCCGAAAUUUCUACUUCAGAUUAUUUAUAUUUGUCGGUUAUUUCCAUGGCCAAUGCCCAAUGGUCACUGGGAAUUAAUCGUUGACCUUUAAUGAGAAAAUAAAAGUUUUAAUGCGGGUAA
RNAcentral lists this long non-coding RNA (1882 nucleotides) under Daphnia pulex (common water flea). RNAcentral describes it as "uncharacterized LOC124202396". The record is from RNAcentral. Lineage: Eukaryota; Metazoa; Arthropoda; Branchiopoda; Diplostraca; Daphniidae.